AAGGGUAUGAAAAUCACGUUCUCCUCGAUGCCAUCUUCAUUUUACAAAACACUCCAUCCUUCAUCCACGCCGCUUCUCACCGAUUCGCUCCUAAUCCUUCAUCAUCGGCGCCUUUCGCCCCUUCACCGCCGUUCCCAAAGCUCCAUCACACCCCUUCCCCAAUCUCUCUCUUUCAGUUUCGAUGCUGAUGAAUUUCGCUACCUUCUUCACGCCGUUUUCUGUCGCUGCUCGCUAAAGCUCGUCAGCGUCGUCGCCGCCGCUUCUACCUCUUCUUCUCGUCACCGUUGGUUCAGUGACAGAUAUGGCAAGCUUUCUGUGAACGAACUCCCUUCAUUCUUCUCUUAUUUGUUUCCUCCCUAUGACUGUUGAUUUGGUUGUAGCUUCUCCUGUGGAGGAUUACUUUUUAUACAUUGAUGAUCUGAAAAAUCCUGAUAAGGAAGAAGCUGAGAAAAUUACACAACCAUAUUUAGAUGCUCUUGGUGAAGACUAUUCUGUUUGUUGCCUAGGAACUGCUUUUUUUCCUUUGCAAAGCUGCAUGAACCAUUCCUGUAGUUCUAAUGCCAAAGCCUUCAAGAGAGACGAGUCCUAAUCUUUUUGUAUGCAGGAUAGGGAUGGCCAAGCAACCAUAAUCGCAGUAAGGCCGAUUCGAAAAGGAAAAGAGCAACUGAGACAAGAUACCUGAAUGCUAGCAAUCGAGAACUAUGCCCUCCGAAUGAAGCUAGAGUAUCUUCUGAUAAUCCUGAUCCCCCACCUCAGGAGAAUAAGGCUCCUUGCUCACUUCUUAAAUUUACAUUUCAAGAACUUAAAGCUGCAACCGGAAAUUUCAGACCGGAUAGUAUUCUUGGGGAGGGUGGUUUUGGUUAUGUUUUGGCGCCAUUGAUGAGGUUUUGAUGAAGACAAAAGUGAAGGCAGAGGAGAUAGGGAUAAUUGUAACAAAUUGUAGCUUGUUGAACACAACACCCUCUUUGAGUUCAAUGGUUGUGAACCAUUAUAGGCUUAAGGAUGACAUUUUGAGUUAUAAUCUAAGUGGCAUGGGUUGUAGUGCUGGACUUGUAGCCAUUGAUCUCGCUAAAAGACUCUUACAGAUUGAAUUCAUAAAGAAUUGCUUAGGACAUGCUGGUUCAUUAGGAUAAUGUAAAAGCCACCACUGACUUUGCUCAAAGACUAGACAGAACUAUCACAGAGGACACUGAAAGACCUCAUUUAGCAUAUUACAACACCAGCAGUUGCAAUAGUCAAUAUGCCUGGCAAACCCUUAUCACUUAUGAUGCCUGCAUACGCCUGUGCCUGCAAGCAUGGGCAAGAGGCUGCACUGAGGCACCGGAGUUUUUGAAAGAUGAGUGCCUGGCUCUUCAAAGUGCCUUUGGAUUGCAUGACUUCUUGUUGCAACCUCGAGGUGUAAAAGUAAAACCAACUGAAGGCAUAAAUGCAAGGAAUUCAGAACAAACAUUUCCCCUGAAGAUGAAGAAGGUUGUAGGCAAAAUAAGAGUGGAAGUGAGGAAACUUCGCAUUAUACCAAGACGCAAACUUCAAAUACUAGUUCACAGAGAGGUUCAAUCUACAUACAAGCUGGGAGGGAAUACGUCCGACAUGUUUCAUCAUUCGUGAAAAGUGGCAUAAAUUCUAUGAAGUCAGCCUCAUCCUCAAUGGGAUUAGAAGUGAGGAAAGGAGCUGAAUUAGAUCUUGAAGGGACAAGUGCCAACCCACUUUGUUUCUGAACUCAUGAAGACAUGAACUUGGCUAUGUUUUAGCCUUCAUCAUCUGCUUCAUUCUCUGAGUGAGUUCAUUGGUAUAUGCUUCUUUAAUUAUUUCUUCUUAUUCAUGUUGUUGAUUCAUUCCAUAUAUAAUUUUAUUAUGGAUUAUGUAUUCUCUUCUUUUCGGUUCUUAUUUUGUCAUCUAAAUAAAAAGCAGGUUGUUAGACUUUGAUAUGAACUGAAAAUACUUAAUCAUUUCUAAUAUUUUAAAAUUUUGGGAUUCUGGUCUAUAAGAAUGUAGAUGAAUAUAAUUAUGUUGUAUAAAGUCAUAAACUAAAAGGAUCUGAUAGAUGCCAAUUAAGUUGUUUCAUAAUCAGUAAUAGAAAAUUUGAAAUGUAGAAAACAGAAUACUAAUGUUUUUAUGCUCAUUUUCUAUAUGGAAAGGAAGCAAAAUCUGCAAACUAAUGUUUAUUUUGUUUGAAAUCAAUCAUCAUAGAACUCUGUCUUCACUCUUCAAAAUUUGCAACAAUCUCUUUUUACAACAUGCAAGAUUAUUAACAAGUUCGCGAGUUGUGUCAUAUGAUUGAAGUUUAUCUAAGCUGCGUCUCUGAAGGCUUCUUCUCUGCAUGCUACCUCUCCCAGUAACUUUAUCUAAGAUAAGGUUCAAGCAAACUCAGAUCAGGCUAUGGUUUGGAAUCAGCUCAAAGCAGGAUCCUUCCAGUAAGUUUCGAGUUUCUUUUAGUUUUGCUUCCUGCUUUCUUGUUGCGACUACAUUUGAGUUGAGUUGAAUGGUAUGUUCUUGACAGGUUCAAUGAAGACUAACAGGGAUAUGAAGUUUCUGUAUUUCAUUUAUUUUUGUAUUCAUAAUGUGUUAUACCUGAUAUAAAAAUUUAGGCAAUAUUCUUUGUGUGAGUUGUUAUACUGGUUACAUGCUUUAUUAUUUUUUCACUGCUUGCUAAAGUUUCAAGUCUUUUUUCUUAUGUAGAUACCACCCUCCUCCUCCCUUCUUAUGUGAUGUGAUGAGAGAAUAAAGAUUAAUGUACCUCCAGAUACCAUGUAGUAGUGCUUUGUGUUUGUUGAAGAGAAGGUUAUAUAUAUAGAUAUUAGAUUAGAUAGGAACAAUGAAAAGGUACAUGCUUUUACAAUAAACAUGUCACCAUAAACAUGCUUCUUCUUCUUCUUCUUCUUCUUCUUCUUCUUUUCAGGAUGUAUAGUGUGGCCCUGGAAUUGGAUUCGCAUCAGAUCAUGCUUCUGCUUCUGUGGAUUGUGUGGUGGCAAGGUAGAAUACUUCUUCAAGAAGGAACCUUGAUGCUGUUGAGAGAGCAACACAUAGGGAAGAGUGUAGAUCAGAUAUAGUAAGGUAGACAUCCUCUACUCAGAAAGUGGGAAGCAGCGAAUAAUUUUGAUGGACCAAGAAUCUCAAGAAGCAAGUAUAUUGCCAUCAUCACUAAGAAGUUCAAGAAAGAAUGAAGCUAUCCAUAAAUUAGGAUAUUAAAUCUUGAUGAGUCCACUAGUAAUUAUUUGUCAUCUAAUGUAUUUAGAUUGUAUUAUUGUAUGGAAAUAAUAUAAAGAAAGCGUUUUGUACUCACUGGUGUGUUUUUAUAUUUAUACCAUCAAUAAAAAUUUGUAUUUAUUAAA
Non-coding RNA from Arachis ipaensis, 3332 nucleotides. Lineage: Eukaryota; Viridiplantae; Streptophyta; Magnoliopsida; Fabales; Fabaceae. The record is from RefSeq and is a predicted model, not a curated record.